UACGUAGGGUGCGAACGUUAAUCGGAAUUACUGGGCGUAAAGCGUGCGCAGGCGGUUUUGUAAGCCAGAUGUGAAAUCCCCGGGCUUAACCUGGGAAUGGCAUUUGGGACUGCAAGGCUGGAGUUUGGCAGAGGAGACUGGAAUUCCUGGUGUAGCAGUGAAAUGCGUAGAUAUCAGGAGGAAUACCGAUGGCGAAGGCAGGUCUCUGGGCUAUAACUGACGCUCAUGCACGAAAGCGUGGGGAGCAAACAGG
Molecule: ribosomal RNA, 253 nt
Filed under: uncultured bacterium
Lineage: Bacteria
Description: partial 16S ribosomal RNA
Rfam family: Bacterial small subunit ribosomal RNA
Source: RNAcentral